RNAcentral lists this long non-coding RNA (6139 nucleotides) under Sus scrofa (pig). RNAcentral describes it as "lncRNA (ENSSSCG00030072786.1)". The record is from RNAcentral. Lineage: Eukaryota; Metazoa; Chordata; Mammalia; Artiodactyla; Suidae.
UUUUUUUUUAGCCUCUCAUUUUAUUUCAGUCUCACAACAAAUUUGCAAAAUUACAAAGCAAUUAUAAGUCAACAUAAUGUGUUACUAGAUGGAAAGUAGAAAAUGAUAAGAAAUUGUGAAGCAAGGCAGUCCACAAAAAUCGUAUGAAUUCAAAAUCUUAAGAGAAAGAAACAUCUUCAAAGUAUCAGAUCUUCCUGGGCUUAUUUAUUCUCAUGUUAACUGAUUUCUCCAGGAGUUCCAUGUUUGCCCGAAAUCAUGCAGUCUCUUCUGAGCCAAAGUUAGACCUCAGGACACAUAAUUCCUCGCCAAAGUCGCUUUCCAUCUUGUUACUUGACCUUCCUCAGGGCCAAUAAAUGACCAAAUGUAAUAUAACUUCUCUAGAAUUUUGAAAGAAGGCAAGGUUAUUCUGGCUGGUGAUGAUUUAAGAGUCAGAAUCCCACCAUAAGGUACAUUGUGUUUGAACAAUCUUUUUUUUUUUUUUUUUCGUCUUUUGUCUUUUUUUUUAGGGCCACACCCACAGCAUAUGGAGGUUCCCAGCGCUAGGGGUCGAAUCACAGCUGUAGCCAUCAGCCUGUACCACAGCCACAGCAACUUGGGAUCUGAGCCACAGCUGCAACCUACACCACAGCUCACGGUAACGCCAGAUCCCUAACCCACUGAGUGAGACCAGGGAUCGAAGGAAAGGUUAGGAAAGGAAAAAGUGCAUCAGUGAAUUGUGCCCUCUAUGUGCACGUGAUCAGAGGGUCAGGCUCCCAUCGGGCUGCCUGCCCACACCCGGUACCACCUUCUGUCCCACCCUGCUCACAGAGGGAAAAGGAGUAAGGAGGGCAUCAGGCUAUGUAAAAGGAUGCCUGUCUGCAUGGGAUCCAGUACUUAGCAGCCAACACACCCACAGGAGCCAGCUGGCAGGAGAGAAGGGUCAUCUGGAACUACAGGCUUUCCCAGGGUGGUGCUUGAACUCAACUGUGGAGUGAGACCAACAGUCGUGCUGCAGUUUAGCACUGGCUGGGUCCACUGCAAAUACAGGCCAAACCUCCUCCCCCUGUUCUUUCCCCUAAUAGGUCUGCUGCUCACAACCACCCUUCCCUGUUGUUUGAAAAAUCAGAGUCCAAAUGGCCAUUUAGGGAUGUCUGUGUACAACGUGUGAACAAGUCAAUAGUAGUCAAGUCAAGAACCAAUUAAAAACUAGCUGACCUCAUUUCAUGCUUUAAGGGCAGCAUUACUUUAAGAAGUCCAAAUGUUUACUUUGCCAGGGAAUUUUUGAAACUAUUUCCUUUGGAAGUAUUUCUCUAAGAAAUGUGUACACAGAACUUGAGACAGGUUGAACACCAAGGAAUUGAGACAUCAUGCAAAGCUACAUUAUUUGGGGAUUAUUGGGGGAACAUCAGUAUGAGUCAUAUCAAGAUGAAUUUUUUAAAAAAUGCAAUUUGUACUUUCUAAAAAGUUAACACUAAGUCCAGCUGCUAACUAGCUCUUACUGCUAGAGGUCCUACCUGCCAGACUUCAAUGAAGAGAUAAGACUUUUGUAAGUACAGUCAACCCUCUCUACUACCUGCAGGUUCUGUAGCUGCCCAUUUAACCAACUGGGAUGAAUUCAAAAUUGUGGAACCCAUGGAUACUGAGAAUGACUGUACUUCACCAUUUUAUAUGAGAAAUUUGAGCAUCUGAGGAUUUGGUAUCCCCUGGGGGUCCUGGAACCAAUUUCCCAUGCAUCCUGAGAGAUGACCAUGGUCCCUGAGUGGUAUGAUUUGUAACAGAUACCACCUCAGUGCUUGGAAAGACUUAUUCUCUUAAAAAGAUUAAUCAAUGAUCUUUAGCACACCAUGAAUCUGCUUAGAAAAUUCUUUCAUAACACAAAAGAAGCUUCAGCCUGUUAUAGGCUAAAUUGUUAUCAAUUCCAAAGCAGCAAAGCCCAAAUUAGUAUGCAACGCUAAAAUUUAAUUUCUAUCCAGAAGGCUUUGAUGUCCAGGAUGCAAAUUAAUAAUGGCUUAUUUACCAGCUAAUACACUGUGAGUCUCUAAAAAACACAAUGUUGAUGACAUAUGCAGUAAUCCUAAUAAGGUUUCUCAAAAAACAUCCUUAUUGGAACUUCAAAUUCUUCACACUUUAAGCUAGUAGUAGCUGAUGCUUACCUGAAGUUUUUAUCCGAAGAUGCAGUUUGAAGCUAAGUUGGCACCUCACUCAGUUUUCAAACAGUCCUCAGGUGAAAAAACAAAGAAGGAGAAAAAAAAAGGUGUUUGUUGCAAAAUCAGGAUCAGACUUCAUAAACCUUUGCCUUUUUGUUUUCUAAGUAGUCUAAUGAAGAUAUACUCUUUCCCUGAGAGUAUUUUGGAGCACCCACCCCACCCUGACUGUAAUAUGAAUAAAAAUAACACCCCUUAUAGACGGUCAUUCUUUACAGUUCUCAAAAUAUUUUCCUGUAAGUUAUAAAAACUCAGUGCAAUUACCAUUAACUCUACAACCUUCUCACCAAGGCCUUCUCCAUUUCAUUGCAAAUGGCAAGGACAUUUUCACCUUCUCCAACCCUCAACGCUCUAUGAGGAGUUCCAUGUCCAUGAAAUCCCAAAAAGUUUAUCUUCUGCUCUGCCUUUGUCAAUAUCUUCAGCCAUUCCUUCCAGGAAAUUGUUCAGGUUUCUGUGACAUAAUCUAUUCUUAGAUUAUGAAUAAGCUAUUCUCCCAUGCCAGAGAGUCUUACACUCUCUGGCUGAGUAGUUUGUCUCAAGAAGUAACUGCAUUGUGUGUAUGUGUUUUUCCCCAGCAGGGAUAGAUUUUAACCACAGAGACAGAGUACAAAGACUCUUCCACAACUGAAGUUGCGUGUUUAGGAAAAGUACUGUCUCUGUCUCAGAUUUCCCUGAACAUUUUCCUUUUUCUAGACAUGACAGUUGGAGCAGUGGUUCUCAGCCCUAGAUGCACAAGAAAAUCAUCUAGGGAGAUUUUUUAAAGCAUAGAUGCUUGGACUUCAUCCCAUACUAAUUGAAUCAAAAUUCCCAUGAGAAGGGCCAAGACACUGGUAUUUUGGGUAGCUCCCAGGUGAAUUGUGCAGCCAGGGUUGCACCAGGGUCAAUUAGAAUUGCUUUGCUCACAUCACUUGAUCAAGAUUUUUUUAGAAAGAUAUUUCAUAGAAAUCCAUAGGAAUUUAACUUAUGUUAAUAAUAAUGACCUUUUGCAUUUGCCUGGAGAUUUUAAUACUUUAUAAUACUCUCACAACUCACUUGCUAUUUGCAUAAUCAAUCCAUAUUUAUGAAAUACAUAUCAGGAGCCAUACUAGGUGCUCGAACAAAAAGAUCAAGACAUGACCCUUGCCCUUCAAAGACAUACAGACUAGUAAAUGAAGCCAAACAAAUACACUUCUAGACAAGUCACAGAUGCCAUGUAUAGAAUACAGUGCAAGUCAAAGGAGAGUCAUCUGGUAUACCUGGAAGGUUCAGGAAAGAACUUGUCCAGGAGGUAGCUCCUUUGCUGAGACUUGAAAGGUGAGUAAGGGGAUCUCCAAGUAGCUGAGAAAGGUCCUAGAAAUUUCAGGCAGAUGGAGUAGAAUAAGCAAGGACAAUGAAGCUAUGAAACAUACUGGUAUAUUUGCUCAAUUAGGCAAAAGGAGAGGUGGGGCAAGAACUAAGACUGGAGAGUUCACAGGGCAUUUAAAUCCCACACUACAGAAGUUAGACCUUAUCAUGGAGGCCACUGUGAUAAAAAAUCACAUAACUGUAACCAUAAACAAUUUUAGCACAACUUUCCAUACAUUCGUUUGUUGGUUUGUAAUUUACCUUAAUGUAAUGCUAUCUUAAUAUAUGGUAAAACAUAGGACAAAGAUAGAACGAGAUUCAAACAAGAACAAGAUUAAAAGUAAGUAUAAAUGGAAGUUCUGAUACCAUCCUCCUUCAUGCCAGUGCAUCCCCUGUACGUCUCGGGAGUGUGUAUACCCCACUUUGAGGUCCCUGCAACCAGCGUGUGAAGUGAGUGAAACGACUUAAUCUGUACUUCACAGACCCUGUGAGGCAAGUAGGGCAAAGGUAAGCCCCAGAGAUACAGAGUGACUUGAGGUUAUGCACAACCUCCUUAUAGCGUAGGGAGGACCGGGACUCACAGCCAAGCCUAAGCCAAUGUUCCUCCUGCUACCUGACAUCUUUUCCCCUGAGAUGUACUCCUCACCACAAAGUCAAGAGGCUUUGGACAAGAUGCAGCUGUGUGUUCAAUUAAGUGAUCCGUCCUUAUUUUACCAGAAUAUGUGAGAAAUUCUGAAAAAGAGACCAUGAAACAUCAUUGGGAUGAAACUGGACUAGGACCACUGUAUUGAGAUAUAGGAGAUGAGUCAUUUACCUGAAAUGAAUGAGGAAUAGGCUAAUCUUAGUCAGCAGAGAACUACCAUGUACAUGUCAGAAUGAAUAAUUAAUUGUCACAGAAGGCAGUAUUGCAUAGUAGGUAGAGAGAACACUUGCUUUGGAGUCAGGGGACCUGAGUUUGAAUCCUACCUCUCUGCCACUUAAUAUGCUUUGUAUGAACUUGGGCAUCUUGCUUAAGCUGACUCACCAGUGAAGUGGGGCUGGAUAAUUUUUCCCGUAAGACUGAUGUGAAUACUAAAUAAACUCUCAGUAGAUGUUUUUUUCCUCCUAUCCAUCAAUGAAUAAAAUGCCACAAAGUGUGCUAACCACUACAAAUGCACUGAAUAUUGAAUAUAAUUCCAUCCUGCUUGGAUCAUGCAGGAUGAUGGACUUCUAUUAAAUUAUUACUGUCGAUUAAAGAAAGACCUGCUUCUUGUUGGAAAAAAGUGACUACUUUUUUUCUAUGUAUAAUAAUAGCUAACAUUUACUGAAGGUUUACUAAGUGCCUAGGAUUUUAUCAACUAGUAUACAUAUACUAUUCCAUUUAAUUUUUACAAUGUUAUUUGUAGCAAGUAUUAUCGUCCUUACUUUAUGAAUGAAGUGGAGCGCCUACAACUAGAAUCUACUCUUAUUUGUCCAAACUCUUCCCCCUUCACUAUUACAUUAGAUUAAAGGGUAUGAGUCUAAGCCCUUAUUACAACAGAGUUUACAAACUCUUUCACAGAACACGAGCUUCUUGUGAUGUAAGUAUUCAUUCCAGAGUGAAGACCUCCAGCACUCCUGCAUCUGAGAAGUUAAAAAAGAACACAUUAGCCUUAUUAAAAAUUCUUCACAGCGCUAGCAGGAAGGAAGUCAAUUUAUUUUUAUUUGACUCAAAUUUUAAAAAUGUGUUUGACCAUGGAAACCUUUCUAGUCUUCAGGAAAACAUAUUAACAUCACACAGGAAAAAAUAUUCAGUAACCACUAAUUUGGAAAAUGCUUCUCUAAAGAAACUGUAAGAUUAGUUCCAUUUGAUAUGCUGUUUGGUCUUAUCAGAAAGUCAAAAACAGAUGAAAUAUUGUUUUCCUAACCCUUUGGAAGAUUUAGUAGGUACAGCACAGGGAAGAUUAUGUGACUCUUUUCUAGAACAACAAUUCCACACAGAUAAGCCUGUAGUCUCUACUGCUUGCCGCUCAUCCACCUUGGUCCCUUUCAGAAACAUAAAAUUUGUUUUGGAAAGACAAAACUCAAGGUAUUAUGGUUCUGAGCAUCCUGGAAUUAUACCAUCCUAUUCAGGGUAAGCUUUUCAGAACAGAAAGAAUGACUGUACUGCAUAUCAAACAACUCUUGGGAGAAAACAUCUCUUCUUGUACAAGUGGCUAUGACUAAAGAAAGCUUGGCUCCUCAGGAGGAAUUCUCAGUGGCAGAGCUGCAGGACUGAUUGAUGAGCGCUGCUUACCAGAGUAGGGAAAAUGCAAAGGGAAGUUGCACACAAAACAGGAACAGUGCACUGUGCUUAUCUGCAAUUCCCUGUGGUCCCCUACUGGGGACUGGAGGCUGUAGAAAAGGACAGGACAAUGGGGAGAAUGCACAGAGAGGUGGGAGAGGGUUGUGGCCAGAAGGAUUAAGUUAGUGAAUUUGCUCCAGUAUUGGACUGAGCUCUCUCAGGCAGCCUCUGAACCACACAAUCUAGAUUUAGAGCUUGUUAAGAUCAGGUGCACAAGGUAUGUCCCUUCCCAAUAAUCAACAGGAGGCUUUAUGAAAGUAUAAUCUGGAGCACCAAUUUCUUUUUGGAAAAAGUGCCUCCUUAUGUUUUCCUUAAAGAAACAAUAUUUUAG